GUAGCUUUUCUGACUCUUAACGAGCUCUUGAAUCUACUUUCAGAGAAAUGCCAGCAAAAACUGUAGUCAUUUGUAGCCCAAGAACAAGUCUGGAAGAAAAAUACACAGAGGACUAGCACCAAGAGGCCAUCUCAUGUAGUUUGGUAAAGCAACACGUCACUGUGGGAAAAUCUCUACUGAAGAUCCCAACCUGUAAAUGCCAUCAAUCCGAAGAAGUCCUUGUGCUGAGGAACCAGACUUCCUCUCUGGACAUACAUACAACACAGUGGAAAAUAACAAAUGAUGACAAAGACUUUGUAUCUGCUGUAUAACAAAUCACCUCCAAAUCUGGC
RNAcentral lists this long non-coding RNA (332 nucleotides) under Canis lupus familiaris (dog). Its description in RNAcentral is "lncRNA (ENSCAFG00000057791.1)". Lineage: Eukaryota; Metazoa; Chordata; Mammalia; Carnivora; Canidae. The record is from RNAcentral.